GGAGAUGUAGCUCAGCACUGUAGCACUUGCCUAGUAUGUAAGAGGCCCUGGGCUCAAACCCCAGCACCA
This 69-nucleotide transfer RNA is filed under the name Heterocephalus glaber (naked mole-rat). It matches the Rfam family "tRNA". From Rfam's summary of the family: Transfer RNA (tRNA) molecules are approximately 80 nucleotides in length. Their secondary structure includes four short double-helical elements and three loops (D, anti-codon, and T loops). The record is from Rfam by way of RNAcentral. Lineage: Eukaryota; Metazoa; Chordata; Mammalia; Rodentia; Bathyergidae.